UGCAGAGCAAUUUGGAGAAUCACAAAUGGAAUGCUACCGAGAACCGAUUUGUGUGCUGCUUUCGACCCAACAAGGGUUGCCCGAUUCAAAGUAAAACCUGUGUCAGGAGAGGCGGACGUCCCUGAUCUGUGGCGGUGGAUCCGCUGGCUGCCGGUGUGAGCUGUGGUAGCUUGGCACCGCUCUACCUCGUGUCUUUAUGUCAGUACUCGUCUACCUUGUAGCCUUCCCGUUCAAAUUUUAGAUCCCGGUCAAAACAGUCUCUGUCCUUUCCUGACGACUGUUGUUGCUGCAGCUCUCUCUCAUUCCUUGAGGCGGGUGGGGGGGAACAUUAAAUGGCCUGCUCGCAUCGAAACAGAGGGUGGU
This 363-nucleotide long non-coding RNA is filed under the name Musa acuminata (dwarf banana). RNAcentral describes it as "long non-coding RNA (MACU_LNC001293)". The record is from RNAcentral. Lineage: Eukaryota; Viridiplantae; Streptophyta; Magnoliopsida; Zingiberales; Musaceae.